This 519-nucleotide ribosomal RNA is filed under the name uncultured bacterium. RNAcentral's name for it is "bacterial SSU rRNA". It matches the Rfam family "Bacterial small subunit ribosomal RNA", at positions 28 to 526 of the family's 1533-position model. The record is from RNAcentral.
GACGAACGCUGGCGGCGUGCCUAAUACAUGCAAGUCGAGCGAAGUUGAUGAGGUGCUUGCACCUCUGAUGCUUAGCGGCGGACGGGUGAGUAACACGUAGGUAACCUGCCUGUAAGACUGGGAUAACCCACGGAAACGUGAGCUAAUACCGGAUAGGCGAGACUCCCGCAUGGGAGAUUCGAGAAAGGCGGCGCAAGCUGCCACUUACAGAUGGACCUGCGGCGCAUUAGCUAGUUGGUGAGGUAACGGCUCACCAAGGCGACGAUGCGUAGCCGACCUGAGAGGGUGAUCGGCCACACUGGGACUGAGACACGGCCCAGACUCCUACGGGAGGCAGCAGUAGGGAAUCUUCCGCAAUGGACGAAAGUCUGACGGAGCAACGCCGCGUGAGUGAUGAAGGCCUUCGGGUCGUAAAGCUCUGUUGCCAGGGAAGAACGGCCGAGAGAGUAACUGCUCUCGGAGUGACGGUACCUGAGAAGAAAGCCCCGGCUAACUACGUGCCAGCAGCCGCGGUAAAAC